Syngnathus typhle (broad-nosed pipefish) is the source of this 2929-nucleotide long non-coding RNA. RefSeq lists it as uncharacterized. The record is from RefSeq and is a predicted model, not a curated record. The transcript is spliced from 4 exons. NCBI's taxonomy places the organism in Eukaryota, Metazoa, Chordata, Actinopteri, Syngnathiformes, Syngnathidae.
GUCUUACCCUUCUUUAAGGGCUCGCUGCAGACCUGAGCAAGUGUUCUUCCUGGGGUUGGCUGUAGAGCUGUGCGACCGGCCCUGAAGGCAGAACGUGCUCCAACUGGUAAAUGAAAGCCGACUUGAUGGUAGGCAGAGGCAGGCGAUUUUUGGGGAAGCACUUCCUCAUGAUGAGACUUGAAGCGUUGACAAGAGGAUCCAAGGUGCGCACCAAGAGACACUCCUGGAAAAAGACCGCAGUGGAAAUAAGAUGACAUCACAACAAACCUUGCAGUUUAACUUCAUUUGCCUUCAAAAAACGGAAUUAUGUUCACCUGCGAAGAGUUGUAGAGAAUGCGCAUGCCGUCGGCUUUGGUGAACGCCUCCCUGCCCAGCUUGAUGUUGGUGACGUUCCGCAGACAGCCCAGCAGCCCCUUGCGGAUCACCGUGUGACGAUGCCACGUGUCCUUGCGGUGCCAGUCCAGGAAAUGCAAGAGUGGACAAAUGAUGAAUGGCUAGAAGAUAAACACCAACAACUACUCACCCAAGGUCAGCAGCUCACUGAGUAUGCACAGGAUGUUCAAAAUGGUCUGGGUGUCUCGGGUGAUCUGUCAGAUUAUUAGAAAUUCAAUGAUUAGUUGGAUUAGUAGGUAGGUAGACUGACAGAGUGGCAGGCAGACUCCAUCAAGUGGUGCCUACUGACCUCCAGUGAAUUCAGGAUGACAUCCAUGCCGCUGGUGCCUUUGGACAUCAUCUCCUUCGACGUCUUCUCUGCAUGACAAACAGGAGACUGAUGGUCAUACAUUUACUGCAACUCAAAGGUGUGUGUUUCUUCCGAGUCACCACAACGUGCCAGUGCGUCUGGAUGGCUCCCUCUAUUCGCACGAUACACAUUAUUUGGACAAAAGUAGUAAGACAUUUGGUCAUUUGUUCAUUCAGAACAUUUGAGGAGCUCUUAUAGAGCUAUGGCCAAGCUCAAUUUAAAUAAGCCAUAUCUACUGUGUGUAUGACAACCUUUAAUGAAAAUAUGAAAACUCUCAAACUGUCACACUCAUGAAAACUUAAUGGUACAGUUUUAAAUCUAUCAUCCAAGUGCUAAAAUUAGAUAACCACCCUGACAAGAUUUAGUAGUAAUUUGAAUAACAAAGGUGGAUUUUUUUGGGGGGGGAUUCCUAAUUUCACAACCACCUCAUCUGGCAAACCUAAUAACAGUAAUAAUGUAAGCGAUAACUAAUUUGGAAAUUAAAUGCAAACAAAUAACACGUGGUAGUUUAAAUAUAUUUGAUAGCUGGCGGCCAGCCCAUUGUGUACUAUUAUUAGCAUGUGUGAUGUAUUACAAGUUGUAAAUGCUUCCAUACCAAACUUCUAGUGGCAUAUGAUGUUUAACCUUUUCAGGGCAUUCAACUUACUUCCUAUUGCCUCUGAUGUAGGCGGGAACACGCUUAAACUGGGUUGGGAAUGCGUGCAAGGCCAGAUUUAAAUGAGGUUUAUUAUUGUGAUUUGGUUUGCAGCGGUUUAACAGCUUUUUCUAGUAUUUUUCCACUGCAAUCAAUAUAAUGCAACUACUACAGUCAAAAGUGGAGAUGAUAUUCAAAAGGUGUAAACAUACUAGGUCUGUAUAUUAGGUCACAUAUUUUUCUUGUCACCUAUACCUGAGUACAAUGAAACAUUUGUGAGUGUCACUCGUGUUCCCAAAAAGUAAAUCAUCUAAAGAAUUAAAUCAAGCUUUACCUGGAGAGUCAGGGCGAUUGUCGCAGUGCUUCCUGCUGUUGCCAUGCUCCAUUUAUAGUUUCUCAAACACUUUAUUUUUUGCUAAUUGUAUUCCCAAAGCUGCGUGUCCUUGACACUGUGCACAGAACAAGCCUGCGCAAAAUACACUAUGUGUUGCUGUAGAAUGAAAUGAAAGCAUAACCUCACACAUUUUCCCCAAUUAAUACUGAGGAGCAAGAGGCGGGGGAAUGAUUUGAGUGAUGUGUCUCUCAAGACACGUGAGACGGUCCACUAAAAAAAAAAAAAAAUGUCAAUGCCUCAGCCAAUGCCCCAGCCACCCUUGUUCUUGCCCUCUGAGCCUCACACGCUAUAAAUGUGAAACCUGAGGACACCAAAGUCCAGCCCAAGGUUUACAAUUACCGCCAGACUGAUCGGUAGCUGCGUCUCACACACCCUGGGGGUCUUGUGCUGUGUGUGUGGCAGAUGAGAGGAACAGCUGACAGACAGGAGGGGGAUGGAUGAGGGUGACAGACGCAGUAAGACAUUCCGCUGCACCCAUUCGUCAUGCAAGGGAGGUAUGACGAUGUUCAAGGCUUCAAGAAAAGUGAGAGGCGUUGUGGUGGCCAGCAGGGCUCGAAAUGCCACCUUUGAACACAUCUGAGAACUUAGCAAGCAUCCCUUGGCAAAAACAUAAAACUUUUUCCGUUUGUACAGAUACAAACAACUUUUUGUUUCCUUUCUUGCAUGUUUUUUUUGUUCAAGUAGCUGAAACUAAUGUUUAUGACUGAUUAAUACUUAGAUGCUAUAAAACAAAUGAAUUGAUCAUUUAAAAAUGUAAUAAUUGAAUCACUAAAAGGGUUAUUUGUCUGUAUUUUAACUGUCAUGCCGUAUGUAAGUAGAGAUCCACAACAGUUGACAGGAAAUCCUGCUCCUGCUGUAUUUAGAGCCAUGUAUUGUACUGCAUAGUAGGCGCCACUAGAGGUCAGUAAAUUGCAGUGGUAGUGCAGAAAGUGGUACGUUCGCUAUUUUUAAGCAUGAGUGCACAAUUUGCGGACUAUUUUAGAAUGUAUCCACCACUUAAAAAAUAGAUUUAUUUAAAGAGACAGUAUUUUGAUAUUCUCUGCUCUGUACAAUUAUUCAUGAUUCACUAUAUUGAUGCUCCAGAAAAUUGCCUCCUGGAGGUUUACAGACAUGAUGAUAAGGUUUCGAGAUGUAUUAUUUGUUAGUGCUCACCCUGUGU